AUGAAUUCUUGCACUUUGCCAUCAAACAUUUGCAUGAGGGAACGUACGGAUGACAGUACGGAGUUCAUGGUGAUGGCCUGGGGUAAAGAUUGAGAAUUAAAAUCAGGACAAGCUGGGACAGGAUCUCAGAUGGCAAGUAAGAGAAAAAACUGUUGCUGCUUCUCUCCAGAAAAUCAAAGCUACCAGAUGCUUGAAGACAUCAAUUAUACAACAAAGGCCUUAGUGGUCCAGCUCCAAGUGCCACAGUUGUAUUGUUUACAUUCCUGUGACAAAGCCACAGAGGAUGAGGACGAAGGAGGAGAAUCAAGGUUUGCACCGAGAGUAAAGAGAUUUAUUUGAAUUCCAUUUACAAUACAGUAUAAUUGAU
This is a long non-coding RNA of Lates calcarifer (barramundi perch), 367 nucleotides long. RefSeq lists it as uncharacterized. Lineage: Eukaryota; Metazoa; Chordata; Actinopteri; Centropomidae. The transcript is spliced from 3 exons. The record is from RefSeq and is a predicted model, not a curated record.